Long non-coding RNA from Erigeron canadensis, 375 nucleotides. RefSeq lists it as uncharacterized. Lineage: Eukaryota; Viridiplantae; Streptophyta; Magnoliopsida; Asterales; Asteraceae. The transcript has 3 exons. The record is from RefSeq and is a predicted model, not a curated record.
UCAAAAUUACUUGGUAAAUGGAGGAAUCGAAGAUAUUUUGAUGGUGAGAGUUGUUAAUUUUUCUAUUUGUUGGACAAAAUCCGGGCAGAAGAUUCGAUGGUUACCUCAAUGACAUGAUAAUUGGUAUGUAUCUACAAUGUAUGAAAUUCGUUCAAAUUUGAAAGAUCAAAUAGCUAUGAACAAGAAGCUGAAGUUGAAGAAGACACGAUUGAGACUCAUUACGGAUGAAAUGCUAAGAUUGCCUAUUUGCCUUGGAAGUUGGAAGUGGAAGGUCCUAUUGAAGCCCAGAACUUGUGGAUGAUUGUCAUUUAUCUCUUCUUAUAGCGGAUGAUCUCAACGACUAGUUGUAAAAUUAGGCCUGUUGGCUUCAAUGCA